Molecule: ribosomal RNA, 259 nt
Filed under: uncultured prokaryote
Description: partial 16S ribosomal RNA
Rfam family: Bacterial small subunit ribosomal RNA
Source: RNAcentral
UACGUAGGUGGCAAGCGUUAUCCGGAAUUAUUGGGCGUAAAGAGCGCGCAGGUGGUUGAUUAAGUCUGAUGUGAAAGCCCACGGCUUAACAGUGGAGGGUCAUUGGAAACUGGUCGACUUGAGUGCAGAAGAGGGAAGUGGAAUUCCAUGUGUAGCGGUGAAAUGCGUAGAGAUAUGGAGGAACACCAGUGGCGAAGGCGGCUUCCUGGUCUGUAACUGACACUGAGGCGCGAAAGCGUGGGGAGCAAACAGGAUUAGA